UGAGGAAUAUUGGGCAAUGCCCGCAGGGGUGACCCAGCAACGCCGCGUGGAGGAUGAAUGUCGUAAGAUUGUAAACUCCUGUUAGAGGGGAAGAAUAGUACCGGUUGGACCGGUAUAUGACUGUACCCUCAGAGAAAGCCCCGGAUAACUACGUGCCAGCAGCCGCGGUAAUACGUAGGGGGCAAGCGUUGUCCGGAUUUACUGGGUGUAAAGGGCGCGCAGGCGGGAUAAAAAGUCAGUAGUGAAAUCCUACAGCUUAACUGUAG
RNAcentral lists this ribosomal RNA (266 nucleotides) under uncultured bacterium. RNAcentral's name for it is "partial 16S ribosomal RNA". It matches the Rfam family "Bacterial small subunit ribosomal RNA", at positions 355 to 618 of the family's 1533-position model. The record is from RNAcentral.